CCUACGGGCGGCAGCAGUGGGGAAUAUUGCACAAUGGGGGAAACCCUGAUGCAGCGACGCCGCGUGAGUGAAGAAGUUUUUCGGUACGUAAACUCCUAUAAUUAGAGAAGAUAAUGACGGUAUCUGACUAAGAAGCCCCGGCUAACUACGUGCCAGACGCCGCGGUAAUACGGAGGGGGCAAGCGUUACCCGGAAUAACUGGGCGUAAAGGGCGCGUAGGCGGCAGAGCAAGUCUGAAGUGAAAUCCUGGGGCUUAACCCGAGAACUGCUUUGGAAACUGUGCGGCUGGAGUGCGGGAGGGGUAAGCGGAAUUCCUGGUGUAGCGGUAAAAUGCGGAGAUAUUAGGAGGAACACCGGUGGCGAAGGCGACUUACUGGACUGUAACUGACGUUGAGGCGCGAAAGCGUGGGGAGCAAACAGGAUUAGAUACCCUGGUAGUC
Molecule: ribosomal RNA, 440 nt
Filed under: uncultured bacterium
Lineage: Bacteria
Description: partial 16S ribosomal RNA
Rfam family: Bacterial small subunit ribosomal RNA
Source: RNAcentral